Molecule: unclassified non-coding RNA, 655 nt
Filed under: Hevea brasiliensis (rubber tree)
Lineage: Eukaryota; Viridiplantae; Streptophyta; Magnoliopsida; Malpighiales; Euphorbiaceae
Source: RNAcentral
AAUCAUUCGAAUUCUGAAGAGAAUGGUUCGGUGGACUCUCUUGAAGUUCGAUUUACUGAUUUCUGCAAGAAUGGAUUGUCGAUGGGUGAGAGUUUUAUGGUAGAAGCUAGAAAGCUGUUUAUGGACAGUAAACAUCUUUUACUGUCAAAUAAUGCUGCUAUUGGAGCUAUAACGCCGGAGGAAGUUGAACGGUAUUGGUUUGUGUUUGUUCUGUUCUCGGUGAAGAGAUUAAGUGAGAAUGAAGCUAGGAAUUCGAGUAAUGGGAAUGAAGGAAAUGGAUUUGAUCUAUGCCAAAUUCUGCGAGGGGCGAAACUCAAUGUUCUAGAUUUCUUCAAAGAAUUACCACAGUUUAUUGUUAAAGUUGGUCCAGUAUUAAGCAACCUAUAUGGUUCAGAUUGGGAGAAGAGACUUCAGGCAAAGGAAUUGCAGACCAACUUUGUGCAUUUGAGCCUUUUAAGCAAGUACUACAAGCGCGCAUAUCAGGAGCUGUUUUUGUCAAGUGAUAACAAUGAAGUAAAUCAGUCUGCUACUUCUAAUUCGAUUGUCCUCUUGCCACAGUAUUAUCGUUUUGGCUGGUUGCUUUUUCUUUCACUUCGCGAACAUGUAUUCAGCCGCUUCAAGGACCUUGUGACAUGCACAAAUGGUUUAGUUUCUG